RNAcentral lists this long non-coding RNA (788 nucleotides) under Olea europaea (common olive). RNAcentral describes it as "long non-coding RNA (OEUR_LNC010881)". Lineage: Eukaryota; Viridiplantae; Streptophyta; Magnoliopsida; Lamiales; Oleaceae. The record is from RNAcentral.
GAGUAUAUUCAUUUCUCUUUAAAAUAUACACAAACACAAAUAUAUAUAUUUGUUAGCAUAUGAGUCGAGGGUUGAAGCUCCAUAUACAUUUCAGUAAUUCUCUCAUUACUUUCACAAGAUAUAAGUAAGUGUAUUGGCAUUUUUAUGGGACUAUAUGCAUAUGUUGUGUUUGUGGAACCUUGAUUAUGAUUCUUUUAUGUAUGUUACUAAGAUUUGGACCAAAGUACAUUAGCUACGCAUGAAAAUUUUUUACCAUCUAUGUUCAAUAUAGAUUUUCGUGCCUCCCUAUGUAUGUAUGUAUAUAUGAAGUUCCUUAAAUUUUAUCCAAUAUUAAUCCAUGUACUUAUAUACUUAUUGAGAUUUUAUCUUACACCCCACUUUAUCUCCUUUCAGGACAUUAAAGUUCGUGACAAUCUGGGUAUGAGAGGGCUAGUAAAGUAACAAGUGAAAUGAGACCCAGCAUUCUCAUUUUUAUUUAAUUGAGAACUUAUUACUUUUAUUAAAUUUCUAGAAGAUUUUUAUUUGAUGUCAAAUUUUUUAUAGUAUUAAAUAAAGUUUUAUGUUCAAGACAAAGGUUUAAUGACACUCAAAUCCUAGAUCCCCGGUCGUCACAGUUGUUAUCAUAACACAAGUUUUAAUUAGUUCUAUGGACAUUUUAAAUUUAUUUUUAAAUUAGUAUGGGUAAAGUAGAUUACAUUACUAUUUAAUGGCCCAUAUUAGAUAUUCAAGAAGUUUUUUCUAAAAAUAAAUUUUAAUAAGUGUUGUCGAUUUUAUAUUCUACAAGUAUA